RNAcentral lists this small RNA (108 nucleotides) under Bacteroidota bacterium. RNAcentral describes it as "Bacteroidetes bacterium 6S RNA". It matches the Rfam family "6S-Flavo RNA". The record is from RNAcentral. Lineage: Bacteria; Pseudomonadati; Bacteroidota.
ACUCAACACGAAUUCUUUAAAAAGGGUGAGUUGAAGUUGUAAAAGCGUGCCGCCUUUGAGCGGAUACUUGACCAGCUUGUUAGCCCUAAACUUGUUUUAAAGGAGUUU